CUUGCACUUUGGCAGACUGAGUGGCGGACGGGUGAGUAACGCGUGGGUAACCUGCCUUAUACAGGGGGAUAACAGUUGGAAACGACUGCUAAUACCGCAUAACAUUGCCGAACGGCAUCGUUUGGCAAUCAAAGGAGCAAUCCGCUGAAAGAUGGGCUCGCGUCUGAUUAGAUAGUUGGUGAGGUAACGGCCCACCAAGUCGACGAUCAGUAGCCGGACUGAGAGGUUGAACGGCCACAUUGGGACUGAGAUACGGCCCAGACUCC
This 266-nucleotide ribosomal RNA is filed under the name uncultured Eubacteriales bacterium. Its description in RNAcentral is "uncultured Clostridiales bacterium partial 16S ribosomal RNA". It matches the Rfam family "Bacterial small subunit ribosomal RNA", at positions 75 to 339 of the family's 1533-position model. Lineage: Bacteria; Bacillati; Bacillota; Clostridia; Eubacteriales. The record is from RNAcentral. RNAcentral also lists the same sequence under 1 other name.